This 318-nucleotide ribosomal RNA is filed under the name uncultured bacterium. RNAcentral describes it as "bacterial SSU rRNA". It matches the Rfam family "Bacterial small subunit ribosomal RNA", at positions 28 to 334 of the family's 1533-position model. The record is from RNAcentral.
GAUGAACGCUAGCGGCAGGCUUAACACAUGCAAGUCGAGGGGCAGCAUGAGACGGAGAUUCGUCGAAGUCUUGAUGGCGACCGGCGCAAGGGUGCGUAACGCGUGAGCAACUUGCCCGUUUCUGGGGAAUAACCGGUGGAAACGCCGACUAAUACCCCAUAGUAUCAGGUUUAGGCAUCUUUAUCUGAUUAAAGAAUUUCGGAAACGGAUAGGCUCGCGUGACAUUAGCUAGAUGGCGGGGUAACGGCCCACCAUGGCAACGAUGUCUAGGGGUUCUGAGAGGAAGGUCCCCCACACUGGAACUGAGACACGGUCCAG